This 404-nucleotide ribosomal RNA is filed under the name uncultured bacterium. RNAcentral describes it as "bacterial SSU rRNA". It matches the Rfam family "Bacterial small subunit ribosomal RNA", at positions 29 to 420 of the family's 1533-position model. The record is from RNAcentral.
AACGAACGCUGGCGGCGUGCCUAACACAUGCAAGUCGAGCGCGAAUGGAGCAAUCCUAGUAGAGCGGCGCACGGGUGCGUAACACGUGGGUAAUCUGCCUCAAAGCCCGGGAUAACCUGCCGAAAGGCAAGCUAAUACCGGAUAAGCCUACGGACUCUUCGGGGUCUGAAGGAAAAGGUGGCCUCUGUAUACAAGCUAUCACUUUGAGAUGAGCCCGCGGCCCAUCAGCUCGUUGGCGGGGUAACGGCCCACCAAGGCAACGACGGGUAGCUGGUCUGAGAGGACGAUCAGCCACACUGGAACUGAGACACGGUCCAGACUCCUACGGGAGGCAGCAGUGGGGAAUUUUGCGCAAUGGGCGGAAGCCUGACGCAGCGACGCCGCGUGGGGGAUGACGGCCUCGG